CAACAUGUACUCAAGACCACAUUUUCAUAAGUUCGGUAUACACCCUUCUAACUACUGUUUCCUUGGUUCCUGGGGACACCUUUCCCCAGCAGAGGAGGGUUAUUCUCCUAUUAAGGAUCUAGAAGUACUUGUGUUUCCCUCUUAAGGUACAUACUCAAGGUAGUUCCAAUACUUCCAAGACUCCAGCCACAUUCAAAUGAGGCACUGAAUGUUGUAGUUUCCUUUAUUU
RNAcentral lists this small nuclear RNA (229 nucleotides) under Erinaceus europaeus (western European hedgehog). RNAcentral describes it as "7SK RNA". It matches the Rfam family "7SK RNA". From Rfam's summary of the family: 7SK was discovered as an abundant small nuclear RNA in the mid-70s but a possible function has only recently been suggested. Two independent studies have found that 7SK RNA binds the CDK9/cyclin T complex (known as elongation factor P-TEFb). Lineage: Eukaryota; Metazoa; Chordata; Mammalia; Eulipotyphla; Erinaceidae. The record is from Rfam by way of RNAcentral.